AAGUUGUUUCUUGUUGGUCUACCCAACACCGGCAAGACACGAAUGUUGACACUGGCUGGCAAACAAUGGAUAGAAAGUGGCCAUCACCUGUACAUUUUAGUCAGUAUUUGUACAAGAAGGGACUUCAUGUCCUCAUUUUCCAAAACAUCCAACCAUACGACUGCGACAAAAGAUAUAGAUGAGACUUCACGACCCUUUGUCACCCAAGUAAUCUGUAAUUUCAAUAUCAAGAAGGAAAUGAAGGAAAUUCUGGACAUGUUAACAACACAGGGCAAAAAGAAAUAUACCACUGCGUGUGAUUGCAAGUGAAGUGGACUUAGGGGGGUAAGUAUGAUUGUCUUGUUAGUAUACGGCUUAAACACAUUUUUGACACCUACCUUCUAAACAUUUUAUCAAUACAGGACAAAAAGAAUAUACCACUGUGUGUGAUUGCAAGUGAAGUUGAUUUCGGGGGAAAAUAUUUUAAAACAUUUGUAGAAAGUCUAAGUCGCCAACAUCCAAAUCUUGUAUUGUGGGCUACAAUCAGCACUAGUCAGAAUGUACCCAAUGGAUGGAAGGUACAGACCUUCACUCGGGCUCUCACCUGUCCACCUGCAGUGGUUAGAGAAGCUUAACGUGCAGGAGCUGAUUAUUUCAUACCUGAGGCUGAAAUCAAACCACGUGACUGCCUGACUCCUACAGACGGCCCACAAGUGAAGUAUAUUUAUCAUGAGAUGGACUCCACGGGUUACCACGACUGUUCUCUGUGUAGCAGGAAGGUGGCCGAUUUUCUCAACAACCAUUUUCCUACUAAAAGAAACAAAACAGCUUCCCCAGAUGAUACCACCCAAGCAACAACAUCAUCUUUAACACGAGUACAACAUGAAUCACCUACCUUGAAGGGAUCUUCCAAUCUUCAAGACAAAGACAUUUUAGUGAUAUUUGAAAACGACAAACUUGAUUACUCAUACUUGCAGGAACUAAAGAAAGUAGGUUUUCAAGUACAGCCUCGAGAGGUUAAGAAUGAAAAAGAAGUCGUGAAAGAAGAAACUGAUUGUGUCUGCUACAUGCAUGUUGAUCGUUUCCGCAAAUUUAGACUAAGACGUAAAAUCGUGGUGUACGUGGAAAGUCUGUCACCUCCUGAAAAAGUUUCCAACAAAUGGCGGGGCAUCACGUGCUGCGUGGCACAGCUGAUCGUCGUGAAAUGGAAAAGUACAUAAUUUUCUUGCUCUUCGUACAGCUUUAUCUGUUUUUUUCUUUCCACUUUACACACAUGUUCAUUUAUUCAACUUGCACUACAUCUUUCAAUUCUACGUGUAUUAAAGUUCUUUUCAAUGCUCAACCAGCUGCUUAAAAUAAAUUGCAAAAUAAUCAACAUAAAUGUUUUUACAAUAAGUACUUUAAUUGUUAAAAUGUGUGUAUGCUCUAAUAUACAAGAUAAACCUGUGUAUACGCGCAUGAGUUUAAGUAAAUUCUUUCAUAAAUAUGUAUGUUUAUGAAAAUAAAAAUGCCAAAUAAUUUAA
RNAcentral lists this unclassified non-coding RNA (1502 nucleotides) under Pomacea canaliculata. RNAcentral describes it as "uncharacterized LOC112575183, transcript variant X1". Lineage: Eukaryota; Metazoa; Mollusca; Gastropoda; Architaenioglossa; Ampullariidae. The record is from RNAcentral.